Long non-coding RNA from Rhagoletis pomonella (apple maggot), 536 nucleotides. RefSeq lists it as uncharacterized. The transcript is spliced from 5 exons. The record is from RefSeq and is a predicted model, not a curated record. NCBI's taxonomy places the organism in Eukaryota, Metazoa, Arthropoda, Insecta, Diptera, Tephritidae.
UGAAAUAAUAAUAAGGUGUUGUCACUUAGGGGGUGGUUGUUGUAGUUUUGGCAAUUUCGGCAUACCAGCGUUACAGUAAUGCCUACUCUAUUUAUUACAAUUUCCUUUCUGGGCAAAAUAGAACAAAAAAUGUAGCAGACAACAAUCUUGUGAAAAAAGUAAGCGUAGGUAUCACUAUUUCUUUGAGUCUCCUUUUCUCUGACUUUUCGUUUCAAAUUUAUUGGAAAAUCUGAGCGAUAGUUUGCAAUAAUUGUGAUUUUGUUGAGCUAUUAUCCCGCAAAAAGCAGCGAUUUAUUCAAGAUAAUUCCAGGUUUUUAGAACAGCACCUUUUAAGUUUUAGAGCUGGCUACAGUUGUUUAUUGGGGCAGUGUCUCAUCAGCGGCGCUACCAACAGCGGUGUUAUAAGCAAGUUCCAGAUUUUUGGAGCAGUGUCUCGCCAAGCUGCGCUACCAGCAGCGUUUUAAUAAGCAAGUUCCAGAUUUUUGGAGUAGUGCACACCAGCAGCAUCAUCACCUUCUACAACUAGGGAUUUUUCA